GACGAACGCUGGCGGCGUGCUUAACACAUGCAAGUCGUACGACAGCAUCUCUUCGGGGGUGUAUGGAGUGGCGAACGGGUGAGUAACACGUAAGUAACCUGCCCUUUUCUUUGGGAUAACUCGCGGAAACGUGGGCUAAUACCGAAUAUUCACAUAUGUCUGCAUGGGUGUGUGUGGAAAGGCUUUUAGCCGGUAAGGGAUGGGCUUGCGGCCUAUCAGUUUGUUGGUGGGGUGAUGGCCUACCAAGACGUGGACGGGUAACCGGCCUGAGAGGGUGUUCGGUCACACUGGGGACUGAGAUACGGCCCAGACUCCUACGGGAGGCAGCAGUGGGGAAUUUGCACUAAUGGACGAAAGUCUAGAUGCAGUGACGCCGCGUGGGGAUGAAUGCCUUCGGGUUGUAAACC
This 407-nucleotide ribosomal RNA is filed under the name uncultured bacterium. RNAcentral's name for it is "partial 16S ribosomal RNA". It matches the Rfam family "Bacterial small subunit ribosomal RNA", at positions 28 to 431 of the family's 1533-position model. The record is from RNAcentral.